AUGAGAGGUAAUGCUAAUGGCCUGAAAAAACUGAUUAUGGAUGAGUCCCCUUCUACCUACUAUGUUCAUUGUUUUGCCCAUCAACUACAGUUAACUCUUGUUGUUGUUGCUAAGGAGAGUGGUGAUUGUACUUGGUUCUUUCAGCAGCUUGCACACUUGUUAAAUGCUCUUGGCAUGUCUUGUAAAAAGAUGAGAAUGCUUCGGAUAGCUCAGGCUGAAGAACUCAUUAAUGCAUUGGAAUUGGAAGAAGUAGAAACAAGGAGUGGGCUGAAUCAGGAAAUGGGUUUGGGAAGGCCAUGUGAUACACGUUGGGGCUCUUACUUCAAAACUGUGAACCAUGUCAUCUCUAUGUAUGGUGCACUACGACGAGUCCUUCGCAAGAUUGGAGACAAGUACCAUGGUGCGGAGGCACAAGCGGCUCUAUCCAUAGAGACAAUAUUUCGAUCAUUUGAGUUUGUUUUCAUGGCACACUUGAUGCAAGAAAUAUUUGGAUACACAGAUGAGUUGUGUAGAGCUUUGCAAAAGCAAGAUUAAGAUAUUGUUCAUGCUAUUGAGCUUUUUGGUGACACAAAGUAUUACUUGGAGGCUUUGAGGACCGAUGCUGGAUGGGAUGAUUUUCUCACAAAGGUCACAUCUUUUUGUACAAAGCAUAAGAUCAAAGUUGUUGAUAUGGAGGGUCCUUACUUUCCCGUUGGCCGGCCUAGAAGGGGUUUAUGUAAUGGUGUGAUCAAUUACCACCGCUUCAAGGUUGAUAUGUUUGUGGGUGUCAUUGAUAGGCAAAUCAGUGAGCUGAAUGGCAGAUUUGAUGAGGUAAACACGGAGCUACUUUCUUGCAUGGCAGCAUUCUGUCCACUUCAUCUAUUUGCUGCUUAUGACCAAGAUAAGUUGAUUAGGCUUGCUACAAAGCUUUAUACUUCUGAUUUUACAAGUGAUGAACUGGCAAGACUUCCAUGA
This 954-nucleotide ribosomal RNA is filed under the name Triticum aestivum (bread wheat). RNAcentral describes it as "partial small subunit ribosomal RNA". Lineage: Eukaryota; Viridiplantae; Streptophyta; Magnoliopsida; Poales; Poaceae. The record is from RNAcentral.